RNAcentral lists this ribosomal RNA (250 nucleotides) under uncultured bacterium. RNAcentral's name for it is "partial 16S ribosomal RNA". It matches the Rfam family "Bacterial small subunit ribosomal RNA", at positions 355 to 623 of the family's 1533-position model. The record is from RNAcentral.
CAACGAAUAUUCCGCAAUGGACGAAAGUCUGACGGAGCGACGCCGCGUGCAGGAAGAAGUCCCUCGGGAUGUAAACUGCUGUCAGGGGUGAGGAAAACUGACCAGCCCCAGAGGAAGCCACGGCUAACUCCGUGCCAGCAGCCGCGGUAAUACGGAGGUGGCAAGCGUUGUUCGGAAUCAUUGGGCUUAAAGCGCGUGCAGGCGGGGUACUAGGUGUUGGGUGAAAUCCCCGAGCUCAACUCGGGAACUG